UAAUACCGGAUAGAUCAAAGAUACUGGAAUGUUCCUUGAUCCAAAGCUCCGGCGUCCAAGGAUGGAGCUGCGGCCUAUCAGGUAGUAGUGGGUGUAACGUACCUACUAGUCUGCGACGGGUACGGAUUGUGAUAGCAAGAUCCCGGACAUGGAUUCUGACACAUGAAUCCAGGCCCUACGGGGCGCAGCAUGCGCGAAAUCUUUACACUGCAGGAAAGUGCAAAAAGGGGACCCCAAGUGUCAGCAUGGAAUGCUGGCUGUCCAGCUGUGUAAAUAGCAGUGGUUAGCAAUGGCCGGGCAAGACGGGUGCCAGCCGUCGCGGAAACACCGGCGCCCCGAGUGGUAGCCGUUAUUAUUGUGUUUAAAGGGCCCGUAGCCGACCUAUUAAGUCUCUUGGGAAAUCUGGCGGCUUAAUCGUCAGGCGUUC
This 427-nucleotide ribosomal RNA is filed under the name uncultured ANME-2 cluster archaeon. Its description in RNAcentral is "bacterial SSU rRNA". It matches the Rfam family "Archaeal small subunit ribosomal RNA", at positions 147 to 575 of the family's 1478-position model. Lineage: Archaea; Methanobacteriati; Methanobacteriota; Methanomicrobia; Methanosarcinales. The record is from RNAcentral.